RNAcentral lists this ribosomal RNA (500 nucleotides) under uncultured bacterium. RNAcentral describes it as "partial 16S ribosomal RNA". It matches the Rfam family "Bacterial small subunit ribosomal RNA", at positions 30 to 523 of the family's 1533-position model. The record is from RNAcentral.
AUUGAACGCUGGCGGAAUGCUUUACACAUGCAAGUCGAACGGCAGCACGGACUUCGGUCUGGUGGCGAGUGGCGAACGGGUGAGUAAUGUAUCGGAACGUGCCCAGUCGUGGGGGAUAACGUAGUGAAAAUUACGCUAAUACCGCAUACGAUCUAUGGAUGAAAGCGGGGGAUCGCAAGACCUCGCGCGUUUGGAGCGCCCGAUAUCAGAUUAGGUAGUUGGUGGGGUAAAGGCCCACCAAGCCAACGAUCUGUAGCUGGUCUGAGGGGACGACCAGCCACACUGGAACUGAGACACGGUCCAGACUCCUACGGGAGGCAGCAGUGGGGAAUUUUGGACAAUGGGCGAAAGCCUGAUCCAGCCAUUCCGCGUGCAGGAUGAAGGCCCUCGGGUUGUAAACUGCUUUUGUACAGAACGAAAAGGUUUCUACUAAUACUAGGAGCUCAUGACGGUACUGUAAGAAUAAGCACCGGCUAACUACGUGCCAGCCGCCGCCGUAA